GAUGAACGCUGGCGGCGUGCUUAACACAUGCCAGUCGAACGAAGCACCUUGAUUUGUUUCUUCGGAUGAAGUUCUUGGUGACUGAGUGGCUGACGGGUGAGUAACGCGUGGGUCACCUGCCUCAUACAGGGGGAUAACAGUUAGAAAUGACUGCUAAUACCGCAUAAGACCUCAGCACCGCAUGGUGCAGGGGUAAAAGUUCCGGUGGUAUGAGAUGGACCCGCGUCGGAUUAGGUAGUUGGGGGGGUAACGGCCUACCAAGCCGACGAUCAGUAGCCGAGCUGGGAGCAUGGCCGGCCACAUUAGGACUGGGACCCGGCGCGAACUCCUACGGAAGGAAGCAAUGGGGAAUAUUGCACGAUGGGGGAAACCCUGAUGCAGCGGCGCCGCGUGAGCGAUGAAGUAUUUCGGUAUGUAAAGCUCUAUCAGCAGGGAAGAGAAUGACGGUACCUGAAUAAGAAGCACCGGCUAACUACGUG
Molecule: ribosomal RNA, 479 nt
Filed under: uncultured bacterium
Lineage: Bacteria
Description: partial 16S ribosomal RNA
Rfam family: Bacterial small subunit ribosomal RNA
Source: RNAcentral